UACAAAGCUGCAUGGCUCGCAAGUUGAUAUAUUUUAUCAAAAUUCAAUUGACUCAUUGCCUCUUUGUCAAAUAUAGCAUCUGAUAGAACAACUGCUGAUGCAAUUAUUCUUCGGAUAAGGGUUAUAUUUAUUCUUCUACUAUCGAAAAUAAGUUAUAUCUACCUUCCGUUUCAGUUUCUUAUUAAAAAUAACCUUACCGUUGUACUCUGGGAUUAAAAUUAACCCCCAUACAUUAAAUUGCUCUUCAAAACUUAAAAAUCACACGUAGCAUCAUCUGAUUGAAGGUAAAAGAUCAACCCCACCUUCCAUUUUAAACAACCCGACCCAACCAAAUAACCCGCUCCGCCCGAAACCCCUCACCUUUUGUUGGAUAAUAGAGCUUUUUAUUUUGUACAUAAUCAAAUUUAUUUUAUUAUUGGGUUGUAUAUUUUGUGUAGUCCAGUCUUUGUAUUAAUAGGUAGCUCAAUAAUUCAUUUUUAGUUUUGGCCCAGGCCCAAUUGUAAAGAUCCGGUCCAAAUAUAAAUAGAAGAGCUCUAAGUCUAGAAGCUUCAGAUGCUCAUUUUACAAUUGCACGAGAUAUUUUCCUUUCCUCUUUCUCUCAGAUUCUCCCUCCUCUCACUAGCAACUAAAUCGAUCACAAUGAUUUUAAUAUGGUAUCAAAGCAGUGUAGCUGGAUAAUUCUGAGCAUAUCGUCGACUUUUUUUUUUUGGCGAAAACUGUUCGUGUUGUGUUCGCCAAAGUUUCGCUGGAGUUCGGUAUUUCUUCGACAAGUUUCUUUCAAUUUCUUCUAAUUCUAGCAACUACUCUGGAUUUGCUUCAGUUUUUUUUUUCAUUGAAAAUUGCUUCACUUCUGUUGUAUUGUCGGUGAAUUACAAAAACCCUAAAUUUACUCUUAGUCAUGGGUACAUUGAUUUCUGAUAUGUCGGUUCCGAAUUCUUCUGGUCAAUCUGGUUCUGAUAACUCAUCGAAUGAUACAAUUAACCAUAAUCAUCCUCUUUACAUUCAUCCAUCGGAUAAUUUGGGGCUUUCACUAAUAGGUACCGUUUUUGAUGGGACUGGGUAUAGCGAUUGGCGUAGGAGCAUGCUUAUUGCUCUCUCUGUUAAGAACAAACUAUACUUCAUUCAACCCGAUUGUGUGUGACCUCCUCCAAAUUCCCCUAUUUUUCGUUAAUGGGAUAGAUGUAAUAACAUCUUGAUUUCAUGGAUUCACAAUCUUCUCACUCCAGUCAUUCGUAAGAGUGUUCUGUAUUGUCAACUUGCCAAGGAUGUGUGGAUGGAAUUGGAAGACAUAUAUGGACAACCGAGUGGAAUUAGGGUUUAUCAAGUCAAAAAGGAGCUCGCUUCUAUUUCUCAGGGUUCUAUGAACAUUCCUGAAUAUUAUGCAAGGAUGAAGAGUGUUUGGGAUGAGCUCAGUACUUUGAAUGUUUACUCUGAUUCUCAUUGCACUUGUGGGGGGUGGCAAACUAGACAUUCAAAAACGUGAAGAGGACCAGAAAUUGUACCAAUUUUUAAUGGGCUUGAAUGAAGGUUAUGCUAAUGCCAGAAGAAAUUUACUUAUGAUGAGUCCUUUCCCCACAAUCAACAAAGCUUAUUCUCUUCUGGUCACUGAUGAAAGACAAAGAGAAAUUCAACCCUCUUCUUCUUAAUUUAGCUUCAGAGUCUGCUUCCUUCUCGGCGGGGUCUUAAAAAUCUUUUCAAAAGCCCUUUCAGAAGAGUUUCCAACCUAAAACCAGUUUUGAUCCGAGGAGGCCUAGUGUUGUCUGUAGCCAUUGCAAUAAGCCUGGUCAUACAGUGGAGAGAUGUUAUAAGAAACAUGGCUUUCCCCCGAAUUUUCAGUUCACUAGGAAUAAUCGAAGGACUGCUGCAAAUGUUCAAACUGAAUUGGAGCCUCCUAAACAAUUUGCUCAUCCUGAACCUGAGCCAUUCAAUGAGACACCACCUAUCAAUGCUGGAGAUAAUUCGACUAUUCCAGGGUUGACAAACGAGCAAUGUAGCCAGCUACUCACACUACUUCAACAACAUCAUGUGUGAAUGCAUUUAGGUCUAUGAUUCACAACAAUAUGAUGGUGGGUGCAUUCUCUCAUUCAACUGUUGUAGGGAAGCUCCGUAAAGACUUACCAGAUGUUCCUGCAGAUGCUCGCAUCAACUUCCCACGAUAUAGUGUGGAUGAAGCUGCGGCUGUUUGUCAUUACUACCUUAGACAAAGACUCAUCCAACGUGAGGCGUUUACAGAAGAAAACUGGAAGAAAAUCUAUUAUCUGUCACAUGGAAAUGGCGCAGAAAUGAGAUGGCUGGUUCCUUUCAUGCGAUGAGCAGCGCAAACUCAACUUCAAGAGAUAACAUUGAAAUUUUAACAGGGAAAUUAUUGAAUCUGUUGAUGCUCUGCGAUUCUGGUCAUUCUCAGCAAAUAAUGCUGCUCUGACCCAAUUCCCCUGGAGAAAACAGUGAGGUUUACUUCUGGAAAUUUUGCUCUGUACUCUAGGCUAAUUAUAUAGCUUGUGUUUGUAUGCUUUCAUAUCCAGAACAUUGUCACAGAUUCAUAUAUACAUCUUCACACUAGCUAUUCUUCUUUCGUUUUCUUUUAGGACUUGUUUUCCUGAUCUGGUGUUUAUACUCAAUAAUGUUGUAACUGCACCACAUAUUUUACCGUCUGAAGUUCAGGUUU
Molecule: non-coding RNA, 2665 nt
Organism: Nicotiana tabacum (common tobacco)
Lineage: Eukaryota; Viridiplantae; Streptophyta; Magnoliopsida; Solanales; Solanaceae
Source: RefSeq, a predicted model, not a curated record